RNAcentral lists this ribosomal RNA (371 nucleotides) under uncultured bacterium. Its description in RNAcentral is "bacterial SSU rRNA". It matches the Rfam family "Bacterial small subunit ribosomal RNA", at positions 29 to 409 of the family's 1533-position model. The record is from RNAcentral.
AACGAACGCUGGCGGCAGGCCUAACACAUGCAAGUCGAACGCCGUAGCAAUACGGAGUGGCAGACGGGUGAGUAACGCGUGGGAACAUACCCCUCGGUUCGGAAUAACUCAGGGAAACUUGAGCUAAUACCGGAUACGUCCGAGGUUUUAAUCGGCCUUGGAGAAAGAUUUAUCGCCGGAGGAUUGGCCCGCGUCUGAUUAGCUUGUUGGUGAGGUAAUGGCUCACCAAGGCGACGAUCAGUAGCUGGUCUGAGAGGAUGAUCAGCCACAGUUGGGACUGAGACGACGGCCCAAACUCCUACGGGAGGCAGCAGGUGGGGAAUAUUGGACAAUGGGACGAAAGCCUGAUCCAGCCAUGCCGCGUGAGUGAU